UACGUAGGGUGCAAGCGUUGUCCGGAAUUAUUGGGCGUAAAGAGCUCGUAGGCGGUUUGUCGCGUCUGCUGUGAAAACGCGAGGCUCAACCUCGCGCCUGCAGUGGGUACGGGCAGACUAGAGUGCGGUAGGGGAGAUUGGAAUUCCUGGUGUAGCGGUGAAAUGCGCAGAUAUCAGGAGGAACACCGAUGGCGAAGGCAGGUCUCUGGGCCACUACUGACGCUGAGAAGCGAAAGCGUGGGGAGCGAACAGG
Molecule: ribosomal RNA, 253 nt
Filed under: uncultured bacterium
Lineage: Bacteria
Description: partial 16S ribosomal RNA
Rfam family: Bacterial small subunit ribosomal RNA
Source: RNAcentral